This is a long non-coding RNA of Pristis pectinata (smalltooth sawfish), 381 nucleotides long. RefSeq lists it as uncharacterized. The record is from RefSeq and is a predicted model, not a curated record. The transcript has 3 exons. NCBI's taxonomy places the organism in Eukaryota, Metazoa, Chordata, Chondrichthyes, Rhinopristiformes, Pristidae.
CCAGAGCCAAGGAGAGGUACCUGAGACAGGGAGCCAGUGAAACGACGGCAAUACGGUGCAGGACCUGGGUAACCACCGGACAGCUGGUCACAGGGAAAAGGUAUUUUAACAAAACAGAUCGCUCUGACUGGCAGAGGUGGAUAUUACGUGGAAUGCACUCUGAUGGUUGCUAAUAGCACAGGCGAACAUGGCACAAUUCUGCCUGUUUUCUGAUGUACGGUGGAGAGCAUUCUGACUGGUUGCAUCACAGCCUGGUACGGAGGCUCCAAUGCACAGGAUCGCAAGAGGCUGCAGAGGGUUGUAGACUCAACCAGCUCCAUCACGGGCACAACCCUCCCCGCCAUCGAGGACAUCCUCAAGAGGCGAUGCCUCAAGAAGGUG